RNAcentral lists this ribosomal RNA (468 nucleotides) under uncultured bacterium. RNAcentral describes it as "partial 16S ribosomal RNA". It matches the Rfam family "Bacterial small subunit ribosomal RNA", at positions 28 to 507 of the family's 1533-position model. The record is from RNAcentral.
GACGAACGCUGGCGGCGUGCUUAACACAUGCAAGUCGAACGGAAAGGCCCUGCUUUUGUGGGGUUCUCGGGUGGCGAACGGGUGCGUAACACGUGAGUAACCUGCCCUUGACUUUGGGAUAACUUCAGGAAACUGGGGCUAAUACCGGAUAGCAUCUCCUGCUGCAUGGUGAGGGUUGGAACUUUGCGGCGGUUGGGGAUGGACGCGCGGCUUAUCAGCUUGUUGGUGGAGUAGUGGUUUACCAAGGCUGUGACGGAUAGCCGGCAUGAGAGGGUGAACGGCCACAAGGGGACUGAGAGACGGACCAGACUGCUACGGGAGGCAGCAGGGGGGAAUAUUGCACAAUGGGCGGAAGCCUGAUGCAGAAACGCCGCGUGCGGGAUGACGGCCUUCGGGGUGUAAACCGCUUUAGCCUGUGACGAAGCGGGAGUGACGGUAAUGGGUAAAGAAGCACCGGCUAACUACGUG